RNAcentral lists this ribosomal RNA (711 nucleotides) under uncultured Bacteroidales bacterium. RNAcentral describes it as "bacterial SSU rRNA". It matches the Rfam family "Bacterial small subunit ribosomal RNA", at positions 44 to 742 of the family's 1533-position model. Lineage: Bacteria; Pseudomonadati; Bacteroidota; Bacteroidia; Bacteroidales. The record is from RNAcentral.
AGGCUUAACACAUGCAAGUCGAGGGGCAGCAUGGUCUUAGCUUGCUAAGGCUGAUGGCGACCGGCGCACGGGUGAGUAACACGUAUCCAACCUGCCGUCUACUCUUGGCCAGCCUUCUGAAAGGAAGAUUAAUCCAGGAUGGCAUCAUGAGUUCACAUGUCCGCAUGAUUAAAGGUAUUUUCCGGUAGACGAUGGGGAUGCGUUCCAUUAGAUAGUAGGCGGGGUAACGGCCCACCUAGUCAACGAUGGAUAGGGGUUCUGAGAGGAAGGUCCCCCACAUUGGAACUGAGACACGGUCCAAACUCCUACGGGAGGCAGCAGUGAGGAAUAUUGGUCAAUGGGCGAUGGCCUGAACCAGCCAAGUAGCGUGAAGGAUGACUGCCCUAUGGGUUGUAAACUUCUUUUAUAAAGGAAUAAAGUCGGGUAUGCAUACCCGUUUGCAUGUACUUUAUGAAUAAGGAUCGGCUAACUCCGUGCCAGCAGCCGCGGUAAUACGGAGGAUCCGAGCGUUAUCCGGAUUUAUUGGGUUUAAAGGGAGCGUAGAUGGAUGUUUAAGUCAGUUGUGAAAGUUUGCGGCUCAACCGUAAAAUUGCAGUUGAUACUGGAUGUCUUGAGUGCAGUUGAGGCAGGCGGAAUUCGUGGUGUAGCGGUGAAAUGCUUAGAUAUCACGAAGAACUCCGAUUGCGAAGGCAGCCUGCUAAGCUGCAACUG